CGCGCUUCCUAGUGACGCAGGCGGCGGGGCCGCGCACGCACGGGGCUGGGAGGGCCGGACACUUAUUUGGCGCUCGCGGAGGAGGAAGGCGGGGCCGUGAAAUAAGGCCCGACGGGCCCCGGGGCGCGUGCGCGGACCGACACUGUCAGCUCCUAACGCCGCAGGUUCCUCCUGGUCCCCGAGGCCCCCGGUCGGGCGUUGCCUGCCCCGCGCGGGCGGCCGGGCCGAGGGACGAUGGUCAGUGGACGGACGGCGCCAGGGAGCAGUGCCCACGCGCGGCAGGGCGGUACCUUCAGGCCUCCAGGUACGGGCGCUCCUCGCCCGGACGCUGCUGUGUGUGAAUGGGCGCGAGGGGACUCCCCUGCGGGGCGGACGCCUGAACACGAGGCUGUGGAGGAGGACGCUGUAGGGUGCGCGGACUCACGCGGAACAUGCCAGAGGCUCAGCCAGCCACGGCGCUCCCAGCGUGGAGGGCGAGGGGCAUCCGGGAGCGGCCGGGAGGGCUCGGUCACCCCUCAAGCUGUCACCCCAGUCCCACAACCAGCACCCCGAUCCUAUCGCAGUCCCACAGCCGACACCCCGAUCCCACCCCUGCCCAACAGCCGGCACCCACCCCAAUCCCAUAGCUAACACCCCGGUCCCACCGCUGUCCCACGGCCGGCACCCCGAUCCCACCCCAGUCCCGCAGCUGGCACCCCGAUCCCACCCCAGCCCAACAGCUGGCACCCACCCCGAUCCCACCGCUGUCCCACAGCCGGCACCCCGAUCCCACCCCAGUCCCGCAGCCGGCACCCCGAUCCCACAGCCGGCACUCACCCCGAUCGCAUAGCAUAGCUGAUACCCCGAUCCCACCCCAGUCCCAUAGCCAGCACCCCGAUCCCACCCCAGUCCCAUAGCCAGCACCUCGAUCCCAUAGAUGACACCCCGAUCCCGCCCCAGUCCUAUAGCCCGCACCCCGAUCCCACCCGAGUCCCGCAGCCGGCACCCCAUCCCACCCAUGUCCCACAGUCGGCACCCCGAUCCCACUCGGAUCCGGCAGCCAGCUUGGAUCCUGUGGCCCUCCUCCAGCCCCCAGGGCUCAUUUAUAUGUUUUAUUGGCAGAGGCUGGGGCUGGCUCUGUUGGCCUCUGUGCUGGGUUUCUUCCUCUGCACCGCAGGACUGGCUCUCCUGACCUCUCCAGGUGUCAUCGAACACCCUUGUGCUUGCUGUCACCCGCUGCCUGUCUGCAGGAUCCCGGAUUCCGUAUCAGGGGACCGAAAUUAGUCGGAAAAUAGGAAGCAGGUGCUCGCUUGGAUGGAACCCUGACCCUGUGCUCACACUUGUAGGAGGAGGGCUCUGCAGGCCGCCUCCCGGAACGGGAGGUUCCCAAGCCACUGCACUUCGGAGGGGCUGUAAUUAGAGUUGCACAUUCAUUCAGUUCCCAGUAAAGUAGAACGUGCUCCAGCCAGUGAGGAAAAGGUGUUUUUAAAAAUUAGAUUGGCCGAGUGCGGUGGCUCAUGCCUUUUACCUCAACACUUUGGGAGACAAAGGUGGGAGGAUCACCUGUGGCCAGGAGUUCAAGACCAGCCUGGGCAACAGAGCCUGUCUCUGGGGAAGAAUAAAAAAAAAAAUUGAGCCUUUGUCAGUGCUACUAUUUUAUUAUCUGGUAAAUAUGAGAGGGUUCACGCGGUCUAUGUGUGUCAUUUAUCUGAGUUUGCCUAUCGUCACGUUUUGGAAAUAAAUGUCAAUAAAGUCG
RNAcentral lists this long non-coding RNA (1735 nucleotides) under Homo sapiens (human). Its description in RNAcentral is "non-protein coding MHENCR:17". The record is from RNAcentral. Lineage: Eukaryota; Metazoa; Chordata; Mammalia; Primates; Hominidae.